AUAUUGGACAAUGGGCGGGAGCCUNAUCCAGCCNUGCCGNGUGCAGGAAGACUGCCCUAUGGGUUGUAAACUGCUUUUGUACAGGAAGAAACACUCCCUCGUGAGGGAGCUUGACGGUACUGUAAGCAAUAAGGAUCGGCUAACUCCGUGCCAGCAGCCGCGGUAAUACGGAGGAUCCAAGCGUUAUCCGGAAUCAUUGGGUUUAAAGGGUCCGUAGGUGGAUGAUUAAGUCAGAGGUGAAAUCCUGCAGCUCAACUGUUCAAUUGCCUUUGAUACUGGUUGUCUUGAAUUAUUGUGAAGUAUUUAGAAUAUGUGGUGUAGCGGUGAAAUGCAUAGAUAUCACAUAGAAUACCGAUUGCGAAGGCAGAUUACUAACAAUACAUUGACACUGAUGGACGAAAGCGUGGGGAGCGAACNAGGAUUAGAUACCCUGGUAGUCCACGCCGUAAACGAUGGAUACCAGCUGUUCGGAUUUAUCUGAGUGGCUAAGCGAAAGUGAUAAGUAUCCCACCUGGGGAGUACGUUCGCAAGAAUGAAACUCAAAGGAAUUGACGGCU
Molecule: ribosomal RNA, 557 nt
Filed under: uncultured marine bacterium
Lineage: Bacteria
Description: bacterial SSU rRNA
Rfam family: Bacterial small subunit ribosomal RNA
Source: RNAcentral